Molecule: ribosomal RNA, 275 nt
Filed under: uncultured prokaryote
Description: partial 16S ribosomal RNA
Rfam family: Bacterial small subunit ribosomal RNA
Source: RNAcentral
UACGGAGGAUCCGAGCGUUAUCCGGAUUUAUUGGGUUUAAAGGGUGCGCAGGCGGAAGAUUAAGUCGGCGGUGAAAUUUUGCAGCUCAACUGUAAAAAUGCCUUCGAAACUGGUUUCCUUGAGUGUAGAUGAAGUAGGCGGAAUUUGUGGUGUAGCGGUGAAAUGCUUAGAUAUCACGAGGAACUCCGAUUGCGCAGGCAGCUUACUAAACUACUACUGACGCUCAGGCACGAAGGCGUGGGGAUCAAACAGGAUUAGAUACCCGCGUAGUCCCU